RNAcentral lists this transfer RNA (87 nucleotides) under Subdoligranulum sp. DSM 23681. RNAcentral's name for it is "tRNA-Leu". It matches the Rfam family "tRNA". From Rfam's summary of the family: Transfer RNA (tRNA) molecules are approximately 80 nucleotides in length. Their secondary structure includes four short double-helical elements and three loops (D, anti-codon, and T loops). The record is from RNAcentral. Lineage: Bacteria; Bacillati; Bacillota; Clostridia; Eubacteriales; Oscillospiraceae. RNAcentral also lists the same sequence under 1 other name.
GCCGGUGUGUUGGAAUUGGCAGACGAGACGGACUCAAAAUCCGUUGGUAGCAAUACCGUGUGGGUUCGACCCCCACCACCGGCACCA